AAGUUAAUCGAAGAACCAUAUACGCACGAAACAAUAUUUCGUCUUUACGCAGGCCCGGUUUGAAGGCGACGCACGUGCAGCAGUGCAUUCACGAAGAUUCCCGAGAUUCAGAGGCCUCGCAUUAAUUGAAAUGUUGCGCUGAACGAUCUAAGUUUUUUAUACGAAUAGUAAUCUCGAAUGGCAGAUCUAUUAUAGCAGGUUAGGUCAAAUGCCAAAUCGAAUGACGUCAAGACAAAGAAAUUAGCGAAUUCUACAAUUCCUGAUCCCCGAACACGAGAAAGA
This is a non-coding RNA of Cinara cedri, 282 nucleotides long. Lineage: Eukaryota; Metazoa; Arthropoda; Insecta; Hemiptera; Aphididae. The record is from the annotation of a GenBank genome assembly.